RNAcentral lists this transfer RNA (73 nucleotides) under Candidatus Fibrimonadaceae bacterium. RNAcentral's name for it is "tRNA-Thr". It matches the Rfam family "tRNA". From Rfam's summary of the family: Transfer RNA (tRNA) molecules are approximately 80 nucleotides in length. Lineage: Bacteria; Pseudomonadati; Fibrobacterota; Fibrobacteria; Candidatus Fibrimonadales; Candidatus Fibrimonadaceae. The record is from RNAcentral.
GCCUCUCUAGCUCAGCUGGUAGAGCAGUUGAUUCGUAAUCAACAGGUCGGCGGUUCAAGUCCGCUGGGAGGCU